This 206-nucleotide long non-coding RNA is filed under the name Eucalyptus grandis. Its description in RNAcentral is "long non-coding RNA (EGRA_LNC002258)". Lineage: Eukaryota; Viridiplantae; Streptophyta; Magnoliopsida; Myrtales; Myrtaceae. The record is from RNAcentral.
GGCCUAACUUGGUCUUCCUUAUGGAAACCAAGAAUAAGGAAAAUGUUGUCGAAGGGUUAGAAAACGUCCUCAAUUUAAGAAAAUGUUGUUAUAAUUAAUCCAGUUGGGAUUGGGGGUGGAUUAGCUCUUAUGUGGGAUGAGGAAGUUAAGGUGGAUUUGGAAACAAAUACUGAUGAACUCAUUGAUAUUAGAUGCAAAGAUCAAAA